UUUCUCUUUCUUGCUUCCUGUUUUCUUUGUGAUAGUUUUUGAAGAAUGCAAACCAGUCCAGGAAGAAAUAGCAAAAGCAACUGGAAGUGAUCAUGCUGUGAAUUCUGACCCUGAGCCUGGUGAUUUUUGUGCCAAUGAGGAAGAAAAGAAUGCAGCAAAUACAGAGCAUGGUGCCAGUGGAGCAGCAGCAGAUGGAAGGCUCCUGGCAGAAGGGAGGAGAAGCCUGGAUGUGCAGGAGGCAGCAGGACAGGCAGCACGAGCAGGGGAGGCGCCAGGGCCGGGACAAGCCCCGGAGCAGGACGGUGCUGCUGAGGGAGAUGCUGGCGGCGGAGAGGCUGCAGGAAAAGCUGCAGGGGCAGGGGAUGCACUGCCCCAGGCAGGCACGGGGGCUGCGCUGGAGGAAUCCGCGCCUGAGGAGGGCACCGAGGCACAGCCCAAAGGAAAGGGAACAGUGGAGGCAGCGGAGCUGGGCACAGAGGGGUCACCUGGGGAG
Molecule: long non-coding RNA, 493 nt
Organism: Camarhynchus parvulus
Lineage: Eukaryota; Metazoa; Chordata; Aves; Passeriformes; Thraupidae
Source: Ensembl